RNAcentral lists this ribosomal RNA (396 nucleotides) under uncultured bacterium. Its description in RNAcentral is "bacterial SSU rRNA". It matches the Rfam family "Bacterial small subunit ribosomal RNA", at positions 30 to 423 of the family's 1533-position model. The record is from RNAcentral.
AUUGAACGCUGGCGGCAUGCUUUACACAUGCAAGUCGAACGGCAGCACGGGUGCUUGCACCUGGUGGCGAGUGGCGGACGGGUGAGUAAUACAUCGGAACGUAUCCAGAAGAGGGGGAUAACGCAUCGAAAGAUGUGCUAAUACCGCAUAUUCUCUGAGGAGGAAAGCAGGGGAUCGCAAGACCUUGCGCUUUUGGAGCGGCUGAUGUCUGAUUAGCUAGUUGGUGGGGUAAAGGACCUACCAAGGCGACGAUCAGUAGUUGGUCUGAGAGGACGACCAGCCACACUGGGACUGAGACACGGCCCAGACUCCUACGGGAGGCAGCAGUGGGGAAGUCUUAGACAAUGGGCGCAAGCCUGAUCUAGCCAUGCCGCGUGGACGAUGAAGGACCUCGUC